GCACCCAUAGUUUAAUGGAUAGAAUUACGGAUUCCGGUUCCGUCGGUUGGAGUUCGAGUCUCCAUGGGUGUA
Molecule: transfer RNA, 72 nt
Filed under: Candidatus Avibacteroides faecavium
Lineage: Bacteria; Pseudomonadati; Bacteroidota; Bacteroidia; Bacteroidales; Bacteroidaceae
Description: tRNA-Arg
Rfam family: tRNA
About the family: Transfer RNA (tRNA) molecules are approximately 80 nucleotides in length. Their secondary structure includes four short double-helical elements and three loops (D, anti-codon, and T loops).
Source: RNAcentral